GGCGAACGCUGGCGGCAGGCCUAACACAUGCAAGUCGAACGAACUCUUCGGAGUUAGUGGCGGACGGGUGAGUAACACGUGGGAACGUGCCUUUAGGUUCGGAAUAACUCAGGGAAACUUGUGCUAAUACCGAAUGUGCCCUUCGGGGGAAAGAUUUAUCGCCUUUAGAGCGGCCCGCGUCUGAUUAGCUAGUUGGUGAGGUAAAGGCUUACCAAGGCGACGAUCAGUAGCUGGUCUGAGAGGAUGAUCAGCCACAUUGGGACUGAGACACGGCCCAAACUCCUACGGGAGGCAGCAGUGGGGAAUCUUGCGCAAUGGGCGAAAGCCUGACGCAGCCAUGCCGCGUGAAUGAAGAAGGUCUUAGGAUUGUAAAAUUCUUUCACCGGGGACGAUAAUGACGGUACCCGGAGAAGAAGCCCCGGCUAACUUCGUGCCAGCCGCCGCAGUAA
This 449-nucleotide ribosomal RNA is filed under the name uncultured bacterium. Its description in RNAcentral is "partial 16S ribosomal RNA". It matches the Rfam family "Bacterial small subunit ribosomal RNA", at positions 28 to 523 of the family's 1533-position model. The record is from RNAcentral.